This 462-nucleotide long non-coding RNA is filed under the name Felis catus (domestic cat). Its description in RNAcentral is "lncRNA (ENSFCAG00000045502.2)". Lineage: Eukaryota; Metazoa; Chordata; Mammalia; Carnivora; Felidae. The record is from RNAcentral.
AUAUAGCCUGUCUUGUGGGUUGGGACGCCCAGAGCCUUCUGUGCUUUGCUUAAGAACAGUAGAUGAUGCUCACGAAGCCUCUGAAUCCCGCGUGCUUCCCAUGAGAAGGGCGCUGUUCCAUAGUGACAACAGUGGAUAUCAGCGCCAUGAAGGGUCCUUCCCGAGAGACUCCUGAAACACUCAUUUCGCAGCGAAGAUGCCUGCCAGCAAGACCGACUGGAAAAAGAAUUUUCUCUCCCAUUGACUUGGAUCAUAAAAUCAGAGCCUCUCUGAAGUGUCUGACCCGUGCGUUUGGCAGUCUCCUGUGGACAUCGGCUGGGGCAGAGUUUGCAGACAGACAGAAGCCGCAUUCUCGUGGGAAGAGAAAAGAAACCACGUGGAAAAGUUUAUUCAGCCAACUCAUGAAUUAAUGCGGGGACCAGUAAGAUGUUCCAACUGGUCCAAAGACCGCGUGAGAAGCAG